Lycium barbarum (goji berry) is the source of this 665-nucleotide long non-coding RNA. RefSeq lists it as uncharacterized. NCBI's taxonomy places the organism in Eukaryota, Viridiplantae, Streptophyta, Magnoliopsida, Solanales, Solanaceae. The transcript is spliced from 2 exons. The record is from RefSeq and is a predicted model, not a curated record.
UUACUAUUACUAUAUGUAUAUUUAAAAUAAUAACUUUAAUCUUAUAUAUAUAGUAUGAUUUUUCUACUAAAGAUGUCCCAAUUGGUAGCAGAUCCUUGUAUCUCACAAGAAGUGGCGUAGCCACGAUUAGUUUAGCGGUUCAAUUGAAUUUCUUUUUUGAAAACUACUACUGCACAAACACUGUAGCUGUCGGAGUAGAAUUUUCACCAAGAUAUUAUUAUGUAUACGUAAAGAAAAUAAGUGAAUUUUUGUGAAUGAGAUUUUGGAUGAUCCCCUGCCGCUCUAUAUAUAUGCGUAUGUGGAGCCACAUACGGCUAAGGGGGAUGAACCCCCUUCGGUAGAGAUUUAUACUGUUUAUCCAUAAUUAAAAUUAUUAUUAUUAUUAUGUAUAAAUAGUAAAUGUUGAAAUUCUAACUUUUUCGUGUGUUUAUUUUUUUAAUUUUGAACCACUUAUAUAUAUAUAUAUGUGUGUGUGAGAGAGAGAAUCUCGGUAUGAUAGAGGUUUUCAGGGUAAUGUCAAAGGUAUUUGAAAAUUAUUUCCUAUAUUUCAUUUGUUGUGUCAUAGUUAGACUAGACAAAGAGUUAGAAAAUGAAGAGUUAAUGAAGGUAGGAAGUAUCAUUCUUUUUAAAUAUAUUAAAAAAGGAGGUAAGACACAUAAUUUUUU